CAGCAGCCGCGGUAAUACGAAGGGGGCUAGCGUUGCUCGGAUUUACUGGGCGUAAAGGGCGCGUAGGCGGACAGUUUAGUCAGGGGUGAAAGCCCGGGGCUCAACCUCGGAAUUGCCUUUGAUACUGGCUGUCUUGAGUACGGGAGAGGUGAGUGGAACUCCGAGUGUAGAGGUGAAAUUCGUAGAUAUUCGGAAGAACACCAGUGGCGAAGGCGACUCACUGGCCCGUUACUGACGCUGAGGCGCGAAAGCGUGGGGAGCAAACAGGAUUAGAUACUCCUGUAGUCCCUGUCUCUUAUAC
Molecule: ribosomal RNA, 301 nt
Filed under: uncultured bacterium
Lineage: Bacteria
Description: partial 16S ribosomal RNA
Rfam family: Bacterial small subunit ribosomal RNA
Source: RNAcentral